GAUGAACGCUGGCGGCGUGCCUAAUACAUGCAAGUCGAGCGAACAGACGAGGAGCUUGCUCCUCUGACGUUAGCGGCGGACGGGUGAGUAACACGUGGAUAACCUACCUAUAAGACUGGGAUAACUUCGGGAAACCGGAGCUAAUACCGGAUAACAUUUUGAACCGCAUGGUUCAACAGUGAAAGACGGUCUUGCUGUCACUUAUAGAUGGAUCCGCGCCGCAUUAGCUAGUUGGUAAGGUAACGGCUUACCAAGGCAACGAUGCGUAGCCGACCUGAGAGGGUGAUAGGCCACACUGGAACUGAGACACGGUCCAGACUCCUACGGGAGGCAGCAGUAGGGAAUCUUCCGCAAUGGGCGAAAGCCUGACGGCGCAAAGCCGCGUGAGUGAAGAAGGUCUUCGGAUCGUAAAACUCUGUUAUUAGGGAAGAACAAAUGUGUAAGUAACUAUGCACGUCUUGACGGUACCUAAUCAGAAAGCCACGGCUCACUACGUG
This 497-nucleotide ribosomal RNA is filed under the name uncultured bacterium. Its description in RNAcentral is "partial 16S ribosomal RNA". It matches the Rfam family "Bacterial small subunit ribosomal RNA", at positions 28 to 507 of the family's 1533-position model. The record is from RNAcentral.